Molecule: ribosomal RNA, 785 nt
Filed under: uncultured Bacteroidota bacterium
Lineage: Bacteria; Pseudomonadati; Bacteroidota
Description: bacterial SSU rRNA
Rfam family: Bacterial small subunit ribosomal RNA
Source: RNAcentral
GUAGGCGGUUUCUUAAGUCAGUGGUGAAAGCUUAGCGCUUAACGCUAGAAGUGCCACUGAUACUGGGAAGCUUGAGUCAAGAAGAGGUAAGCAGAAUUCAUAGUGUAGCAGUGAAAUGCUUAGAUACUAUGAGGAAUACCAACAGCGAAGGCAGCUUACUGGUCUUGCACUGACGCUGAGGCACGAAAGCGUGGGUAGCGAACAGGAUCAGAUACCCUGGUAGUCCACGCCGUAAACGAUGAUCACUCGAUGUACACGCUAGUCGUGUGUGUCCAAGCAAAAGCAUUAAGUGAUCCACCUGGGGAGUACGCUCGCAAGAGUGAAACUCAAAGGAAUUGACGGGAGUCCGCACAAGCGGUGGAGCAUGUGGUUUAAUUCGAUAAUACGCGAGGAACCUUACCUGGGCUCGAAUGUCUCUGCUACCUCGAGAAAUCGAGGGUUCCCUCGGGACAGAGUACAAGGUGCUGCAUGGCUGUCGUCAGCUCGUGUCGUGAGAUGUUGGGUUAAGUCCUAUAACGAGCGCAACCCCUUUACUUAGUUGCCAGCACAUUAUGGUGGGGACUCUAAGUAGACUGCCUGCGUAAGUAGGAGGAAGGAGGGGACGAGGUCAAGUCAUCAUGGCCCUUACGCCCAGGGCUACACACGUGCUACAAUGGCGUGUACAGAAGGAAGCUACUUGGUAACAAGCGGCAAACCCUCAAAGCACGUCUCAGUUCGGAUUGAGGUCUGCAACUCGACCUCAUGAAGCUGGAAUCGCUAGUAAUCGCGCAUCAGCAAUGGCGCGG